This 301-nucleotide ribosomal RNA is filed under the name uncultured bacterium. Its description in RNAcentral is "partial 16S ribosomal RNA". It matches the Rfam family "Bacterial small subunit ribosomal RNA", at positions 509 to 809 of the family's 1533-position model. The record is from RNAcentral.
CAGCCGCCACGGUAACACGUAGGGUGCAAGCGUUAAUCGGAAUUACUGGGCGUAAAGCGUGCGCAGGCGGUUAUAUAAGACAGAUGUGAAAUCCCCGGGCUCAACCUGGGAACUGCAUUUGUGACUGUAUAGCUAGAGUACGGCAGAGGGGGAUGGAAUUCCGCGUGUAGCAGUGAAAUGCGUAGAUAUGCGGAGGAACACCGAUGGCGAAGGCAAUCCCCUGGGCCUGUACUGACGCUCAUGCACGAAAGCGUGGGGAGCAAACAGGAUUAGAUACCCCUGUAGUCCCUGUCUCUUAUAU